CAGUAGCCGCGGGAAUACGGAGGGUGCAAGCGUUGUCCGGAUUUAUUGGGUUUAAAGGGUGCGUAGGCGGCUAUUUAAGUCAGCGGUGAAAGACUCCGGCUCAACCGGAGCAGUGCCAUUGAUACUGGAUAGCUUGAGUGUUGGAGGGGUACAUGGAAUUGAUGGUGUAGCGGUGAAAUGCAUAGAUACCAUCAGGAACACAGAUAGCGAAGGCAUUGUACUGGCCAACAACUGACGCUGAGGCACGAAAGCAUGGGGAGCGAACAGGAUUAGAUACCCCAGUAGUCCCUGUCUCUUAUAA
Molecule: ribosomal RNA, 301 nt
Filed under: uncultured bacterium
Lineage: Bacteria
Description: partial 16S ribosomal RNA
Rfam family: Bacterial small subunit ribosomal RNA
Source: RNAcentral